RNAcentral lists this ribosomal RNA (597 nucleotides) under uncultured bacterium. RNAcentral describes it as "bacterial SSU rRNA". It matches the Rfam family "Bacterial small subunit ribosomal RNA", at positions 335 to 941 of the family's 1533-position model. The record is from RNAcentral.
ACUCCUACGGGAGGCAGCAGUGGGGAAUAUUGCUCAAUGGGCGCAAGCCUGAAGCAGCGACGCCGCGUGAGGGAUGAAGGCCUUCGGGUUGUAAACCUCUUUCAGCUCCGAAGAAGCGAAAGUGACGGUAGGAGCAAAAGAAGCACCGGCUAACUACGUGCCAGCAGCCGCGGUAAUACGUAGGGUGCAAGCGUUGUCCGGAUUUAUUGGGCGUAAAGAGCUCGUAGGCGGUCUGUCGCGCCUGCUGUGAAAACUCGGGGCUUAACCCCGGGCCUGCAGUGGGUACGGGCAGACUAGAGUGCGGUAGGGGAGACUGGAAUUCCUGGUGUAGCGGUGAAAUGCGCAGAUAUCAGGAGGAACACCGGUGGCGAAGGCGGGUCUCUGGGCCGUAACUGACGCUGAGGAGCGAAAGCAUGGGUAGCGAACAGGAUUAGAUACCCUGGUAGUCCAUGCCGUAAACGUUGGGCGCUAGGUGUGGGGGCUCAUUCCACGAGUUCCGUGCCGCAGCAAACGCAUUAAGCGCCCCGCCUGGGGAGUACGGCCGCAAGGCUAAAACUCAAAGGAAUUGACGGGGCCCCGCACAAGCGGCGGAGCAUG